Molecule: long non-coding RNA, 755 nt
Organism: Trachemys scripta elegans
Lineage: Eukaryota; Metazoa; Chordata; Testudines; Emydidae
Exons: 4
Source: RefSeq, a predicted model, not a curated record
CUCCGCUGGCAGGCUCUGAGCAAGGCCUGCCCAGAGAACAUGGAUGACGAGCUCUCGAUCCUGCUGACAGCACCCCCCAGCACAGACAAACUCCAGCACAUCUUGGAGGGUGGGAAACUGAGACACAGUUGGGACCUGUGUACACUACAGGUCUGUCAUGUGUUUGUAAUCUGCUGACCCCCACAUGUUGUUCAGAGCCUAUGGACAACACAGCUCCUAAAACCAGUCGAUCGCCCAGUGCUAUCACCCUGCCUGCUGGCUGGGCAGGGUAACUCCUCAGGUCACCACCACUCUCUCCAGCCUGCCUUGGCUUUGGGGAGUGAGGAGAAGGGCGAGGAAUGACACUGAACAUCCUCCAUCCAUCGCUCCGUCAGCAGAGCAAGAUGGCCAGGCUCCUGAGGAUGUUCAGGAAGAAGGCUCUGCAGGUGGCCCCAGAGCCUGAGGGAAGCAGCUGCCAUCUUCCUCAGGAGCAGAACGGCUCCUCUGUCCCCCUGGCGGGGAAGGAGCUCCCGGCCAGGCCAGGAGGAGGAAGUGCCCAGCCUUCUGGCGGAGAAAACCCGCUCCCAGCGCAGGCGCCGAGGUGGGAGAGGCCAGGUCGAAAUGGAGCUGGGCCAGGCUGCGGCUGGGCAGGCAGGACCCAGUGCAGGAGGGGAGCCGGGCAGGGUGACUCUGGGGCAUGUUGUGUGGGCAGCAGCGGCCCCAGGAGCCCAGCCCUGAUUCCCAGCAGGAGGCAUCACCCUGCCCGGUCAGUGAGG